RNAcentral lists this ribosomal RNA (476 nucleotides) under uncultured bacterium. RNAcentral describes it as "bacterial SSU rRNA". It matches the Rfam family "Bacterial small subunit ribosomal RNA", at positions 335 to 798 of the family's 1533-position model. The record is from RNAcentral.
ACUCCUACGGGGAGGCAGCAGGUGAGGAAUAUUGGUCAAUGGAGGGAACUCUGAACCAGCCAUCCCGCGUGUAGGAAGACGGCCUUAUGGGUUGUAAACUACUUUUAUACAGGAAGAAACGUACCCUCGUGAGGGUGCCUGACGGUACUGUAGGAAUAAGCACCGGGCUAACUCCGUGCCAGCAGCCGCGGUAAUACGGAGGGGUGCGAGCGUUAUCCGGAUUUAUUGGGGUUUAAAGGGUCCGUAGGCGGAUUAAUAAGUCAGUGGUGAAAUCCCAUCGCUUAACGAUGGAACUGCCAUUGAUACUGUUAGUCUUGAAUGAGGGUGCAGUGGUUGGAAUGUGUAGUGUAGCGGGUGAAAUGCAUAGAUAUUACACAGAACACCGAUUGCGAAGGCAGAUCACUAACCCUAAACUUGACGCUGAGGGACGAAAGCGUGGGGAGCGAACAGGAUUAGAGUACCCUGGUAGCGACUGA